GAUGAACGCUAGCUACAGGCUUAACACAUGCAAGUCGAGGGGUAACGAGAGGAAAGCUUGCUUUCCUUGUCGACGACCGGCGCACGGGUGAGUAACGCGUAUCCAACCUGCCCCCAACUAGGGAAUAACCUUGCGAAAGUAAGACUAAUACCCUAUAAUUUCCUCAGAUGUCAUCUGACGAGGAAUAAAGAUUUAUCGGUCGUGGAUGGGGAUGCGUCUGAUUAGCUUGUUGGCGGGGUAACGGACCACCAAAGCAACGAUCAGUAGGGGUUCUGAGAGGAAGGUCCCCCACAUUGGAACUGAGACACGGUCCAAACUCCUACGGGAGGCAGCAGUGAGGAAUAUUGGUCAAUGGGCGGAAGCCUGAACCAGCCAAGUAGCGUGCAGGAUGACGGCCCUAUGGGUUGUAAACUGCUUUUAUACAGGAAUAAAGUUAGCCACGUGUGGAUAUUUGUAGGUACUGUAUGAAUAAGGACCGGCUAAUUCCGUGCCAGCCGCCGCCGUAA
Molecule: ribosomal RNA, 506 nt
Filed under: uncultured bacterium
Lineage: Bacteria
Description: partial 16S ribosomal RNA
Rfam family: Bacterial small subunit ribosomal RNA
Source: RNAcentral